This 465-nucleotide ribosomal RNA is filed under the name Vreelandella stevensii. RNAcentral describes it as "partial 16S ribosomal RNA". It matches the Rfam family "Bacterial small subunit ribosomal RNA", at positions 338 to 795 of the family's 1533-position model. The record is from RNAcentral. Lineage: Bacteria; Pseudomonadati; Pseudomonadota; Gammaproteobacteria; Oceanospirillales; Halomonadaceae.
CCUACGUUGAGCUGCAGUGGGGAAUAUUGGACAAUGGGCGAAAGCCUGAUCCAGCCAUGCCGCGUGUGUGAAGAAGGCCUUCGGGUUGUAAAGCACUUUCAGUGGGGAAGAAAGCCUUGGGGCUAAUACCCUCGAGGAAGGACAUCACCCACAGAAGAAGCACCGGCUAACUCCGUGCCAGCAGCCGCGGUAAUACGGAGGGUGCGAGCGUUAAUCGGAAUUACUGGGCGUAAAGCGCGCGUAGGCGGUCUGAUAAGCCGGUUGUGAAAGCCCCGGGCUCAACCUGGGAACGGCAUCCGGAACUGUCAGGCUAGAGUGCAGGAGAGGAAGGUAGAAUUCCCGGUGUAGCGGUGAAAUGCGUAGAGAUCGGGAGGAAUACCAGUGGCGAAGGCGGCCUUCUGGACUGACACUGACGCUGAGGUGCGAAAGCGUGGGUAGCAAACAGGAUUAGAUACCCGAGUAGUC